CCUACGGGAGGCUGCAGUGGGGAAUAUUGGACAAUGGGGGGAACCCUGAUCCAGCCAUGCCGCGUGUGUGAAGAAGGCCCUCGGGUUGUAAAGCACUUUCAGUGAGGAAGAACGCCUGGUGGUUAAUACCCAUCAGGAAAGACAUCACUCACAGAAGAAGCACCCGCUAACUCCGUGCCAGCAGCCGCGGUAAUACGGAGGGUGCGAGCGUUAAUCGGAAUUACUGGGCGUAAAGCGCGCGUAGGUGGCUUGAUAAGCCGGUUGUGAAAGCCCCGGGCUCAACCUGGGAACGGCAUCCGGAACUGUCAAGCUAGAGUGCAGGAGAGGAAGGUAGAAUUCCCGGUGUAGCGGUGAAAUGCGUAGAGAUCGGGAGGAAUACCAGUGGCGAAGGCGGCCUUCUGGACUGACACUGACACUGAGGUGCGAAAGCGUGGGUAGCAAACAGGAUUAGAUACCCUUGUAGUC
RNAcentral lists this ribosomal RNA (465 nucleotides) under Vreelandella stevensii. RNAcentral's name for it is "partial 16S ribosomal RNA". It matches the Rfam family "Bacterial small subunit ribosomal RNA", at positions 338 to 795 of the family's 1533-position model. The record is from RNAcentral. Lineage: Bacteria; Pseudomonadati; Pseudomonadota; Gammaproteobacteria; Oceanospirillales; Halomonadaceae.